This 26-nucleotide non-coding RNA is filed under the name Xenopus tropicalis (tropical clawed frog). RNAcentral also lists the same sequence under 2 other names. Lineage: Eukaryota; Metazoa; Chordata; Amphibia; Anura; Pipidae. The record is from RNAcentral.
UAGCUCAAAUGGUAGAGCGCUCGCUU